UACGUAGGUGGCGAGCGUUGUCCGGAUUCAUUGGGCGUAAAGCGCGCGUAGGCGGCUGCGCAAGUCGGUUGUGAAAUUCCGGGGCUCAACCCCGGAACUGCGUCCGAUACUGCGUGGCUAGAGGUAGGUAGGGGAGAUCGGAAUUCCUGGUGUAGCGGUGAAAUGCGCAGAUAUCAGGAGGAACACCGGUGGCGAAGGCGGAUCUCUGGGCCUUACCUGACGCUCAGGCGCGAAAGCUAGGGGAGCGAACAGG
Molecule: ribosomal RNA, 253 nt
Filed under: uncultured prokaryote
Description: partial 16S ribosomal RNA
Rfam family: Bacterial small subunit ribosomal RNA
Source: RNAcentral